Molecule: long non-coding RNA, 1335 nt
Filed under: Manihot esculenta (cassava)
Lineage: Eukaryota; Viridiplantae; Streptophyta; Magnoliopsida; Malpighiales; Euphorbiaceae
Description: long non-coding RNA (MESC_LNC002618)
Source: RNAcentral
AUUGUUUUGGCAUAUCUCUCUGAUUUUGCUUGUGAUGUUCCCCGUUUUAGCCGAAAGUUCUCUCCCUCUCAAAUGGGUUUCCCCUGCUUCCUUGGGACGAGAGAAGAUUCUGUCCUUCACUUUUCCAACUAUAGAUUUUUCGUUUCCACUCCGGGGGAACUGUAAUAGCAAUGUUUUUGUUGGUUCUUCGAUUGCAGACUGUGUUGGGAUUCAUCUUAAAGACAUGAAUACAAGUUUUAUUCUCUUAUGCUUGUGGUGGUGGUGGUUUUGUGGUUUUUGCGCUUUGCGGAUAGUGGAGGCUCAUAUCCAUUGCUUUUUUCCUCUCUGACCAAACAAAUGGUCGACCCUCAACUGUUGAUUUCUUCUUUGCUGUGAUCACGAGGACGAUUCUACUAUUGAACAUGGGUCUGAUCGGCGUUGCACCCUUCGUUUUGGAUGGCUUUUAAGCUCUUGGUUGUAAGUCGAUAUCCUAUUGUUCUGGCAGGGAGAUCAUAAGUGAUGGUUUUUUUAGACCUAGUUUAAGAUUGGAUGAAAGUGUCCAUACCAAGUUUUUUUCUACAGUAUUUUUUCAUAAAAUUUAUAGUUCUCAUUUAAAAAAAAAAAAAACAAAAACCUUCAUCAUCCUUGUUACUGUUGUGUGUUGAUGAGCAUGAAUAAUUUCUCACAAAAAUAUGAAACAAUAAAACAAAUCAAAACCCUGUUAAUGUUUUGACAAACAAACAUCCAACAUUGACGAAAUCCAAAAGCUUACAUAAUAGAAUCACAUGCUUCAAUGACACACAUACAUGACAACUCCAUUAACAUCGUCCACAUAAAUUAAAUCAUUACUAACAAAUACUUGGAUACAUUAAUUUCUAUCAAAUUAGGUCAUCACUCAAAGCUCAUAUUGGUAGGACCUGCAAAACCAGGAUAAAAAGAAACAUGAUGUUCAUGAUUGUCUAAUUACUAACAAAAAAUACAGAUGAUUAUAUAAAUACAUAUAUUCCCAUUUCCCAUUGGCAGACAUGGCAAACCCAGUAAGUUAAAUAACCUGGGCCACAGUUGGACUGCAAUAGAGGAUGAGACUCCUUUCGUCUGCCAUUUCGUAACAAGAUCAUUGGCAUGUUUCUAAUUUUGACUCCUUCCUCAUUGGAUUCAUCUUUCAAGUUUUUAUUUAUUUAUAUAUUUAUUUUCUUGGAGGGUCCCCUUAUUCAUAUCCUUCGAAAAUGACAGGGAGACCAGCUUCAGCUCCUCACCCACCGGGACCUCACCAUGCAUACUGUUUGCUAGCUAGACUCCCUACUACAUCAGGUUAUGUAUAUAUAUAUAAUAUGCCAUCUCCCAUGCAUGCAUGCU